This 4294-nucleotide long non-coding RNA is filed under the name Gossypium barbadense (sea-island cotton). RNAcentral describes it as "long non-coding RNA (GBAR_LNC022936)". Lineage: Eukaryota; Viridiplantae; Streptophyta; Magnoliopsida; Malvales; Malvaceae. The record is from RNAcentral.
CCUUAAGUUUGAAGAUAGCCCCAAAUGGGGGUGGUGGGAGCAGAUUUUUGGUUUUUGUUAUCUGCCUUGUGGCUGAUCUCGCUCACUGCCCUCGCUUGAGAAGUCUUAAAUGUAUUUGUGGCUACUAACUUACAGCCGCUGAUGGUGGUUAUGAAAAGUUCAAAAGUACCAUAUCUUUCUUGGAUGCUUCUGAGUCAGAGAAAUGCAUGGGUGAUCACGUGUUUAUUCUAUCUAGCAUCAAAAUGGUUAAAAGAGACGAGAAUUAUGAGGAGGCAUCAUUUGAUUUCUACAUCAAAAAUUUCCAUCAUUAUGAAGAAGCAGCAGAAAAAUUAUCAAGGUGGAGAGAUGUGGUGUUCUUGUAUUUUACGUAGAUGCAGAGAGUGAUGCUGAUGCUACAGAAAUGAGACCUGCCGAGACCAAAAGAAGCUUUAGCCAUGAUGGUGAAGAAGGGGAUGGAGGCCCUAAACGAUUUCAACAGUUUUUAUUUCCUUUCAUUUUUGGCUCUGGUUUUCAGUAGUUACAACUUCUCAAUCAUGUCAUCCAAAUGCAUAAAGGGGUUUUCAUCUCAUUCUUUCAUAUUACUCGAUUUUUUAUUUCAUUUUUCAUAUUGCCAUAUUUUUGUUUUUCAUAGGUGUUAAAACUAAAUUUUCAACUUUUAAAUUAAUUGCCUAUGAUAGAAAAUGAAGUGCUUUACUUAAUUAAAACCAACCAGGAUGAAUCUAACUUGCUCUGUUUAAAGUGUUAAGAGUAUAGAUAAAGACUCUAUUAGUCUAUUAGUUGUUAGUUUGUUAUACAAGCAGUUAUGCUGUUAAGUGAGAUUGUUAGCAGCAGUUACUCAUACACAUUUUAUAAAUACUAUAGUUGUACUGGUUAAAUUCAAGAUAAUAAUACAAAAAUCAUUCUCUGCAUAUUCUAUUUUUCUUUCAAGUUUUUGUAGAUAUUAACAUGGUAAACAUCGGACAACAAUGAUUGACAGAGGCAGCAACAUAUUCACUUGAUUAUUGAAGGUUAUGAAUUGACUGGUUUUUUUUGGAGGGAACGUUACCUGGUCUGCCGCAUUUUGUGCUGUCUUUGGAGGGAUCUCUAGUUCCAAAUCCGGAUGCCUCAGCAUUCUUUCAGCAGGAUAGGUUACUUGCCUCUUUCUGGUUAUUUUCUACUAUUAGUCCUUCACUGUUGUCUUCUUUUACAUAUGCUAGGAUGGCGUGCGAUGUUUGGAACACUGCCACUUGCCUCUUCACUACCGUCACAGGUGUCAAGUUAUCUUGCAUUCGCCAUGAUUUACACUCGCUUAAGAAAGGUAAUCUGUCGAUAAUGGAGUAGGUAGUAAAGAUUCAGAAUACCUGUGCUUUAAUCGAGGCUUGUCGAUCUUGGAUCUCGGAGGCAGAGAGUGUGGAUAUCGUACUUGUGGGCCUACCACCGGAGUUCAACGCCAUGCUCACCUUAGCGUCAUUCUUGUCGGAAGCCUUACCGUUACAACACCGCAUGGAUGAGUUGUUGGAGUAUGGAAGUCGCUAAAUUCGCGUGGUUCAGGAGGUGCCGUUUCAUGCUAACCUUUUGGAGACUAUUCCGUCACCGCCGGUGGUGGACUCUGUGCGUGUUGGCCGUCCCCUACUGGUGGUUGUGGGAAGAGGUUUCGAUCCAAACUCCAAUGUUAGAUCUGUGGUCAGUUUGGGCAUUAGCUCAACGUUUUUAAUAUUGUCAUAAUCGCGACUACAGUGGUUCUGACAUUAGCGGCCUGGGCUUCAAAUUCGACCGAUCGUACUAGGCAGGGUUCGGAUGUUGGUUUCUCAUUUCUAUCGCCCGCCUCUAGUCAGUUUGGUGGCCUUUCGUAGACGGCGCCAUCACGAUUUCUUUCUGGUAAAUGGUAGGGUGGUCACUUGUCUACUGCGCCUCCCCUGUAUAUGUCAUACACUAGGGUUUUUAACCCCUUUUUUUUGCGUUUGAUGAUGGAGCAGGCCUACCGCUUGGGCAUUAUGCUGGGUUAAGCCAACCAUUUGGGCUUGGUCAUGAGUAGCGGUUUGAGCCUGGUCAUGAGGCAGUUCACUGGGUUAGGUCCGUAUUUUGGGCUUGUAACUGGGUUCACUCGGCCAUUGGCCAAAAUCUUGGGCCGUCUGUGCGUGGUAGGCCAUCUGGCCCAUGCUAGGACUUUAGGGGUGAUUUUUCUCCAGUUGGGUCCACUGCUAAUGUUUCUCCAAAUGGGCCAACAUUUAAUUGUGUGGAGUUUACAAGCCCUCGUGGUCGUGUACGAGGGCUUGAGCCUUCAGAUGGUGGUGUUUGUACUACGUUUGGGUCAUAUAAUGGGUUGUGUAUUCCCUGGCAGAUAAAAAUAAGAGCUCGUGUUUAUAUUGGGUCAAAUCCAUGCAUUGGAUUGCCUCGAAUUCCUGAUUUACAUACGUCUAAUGUCUCUAACUCUACUGGAUCUAAUAUUAAUGCCACUCAUUUUGGGUCCAAUUUUGAUAAUGAUGAUUCGUAUAUUCCUAUACCUAUAGGAACUUCGUCUUGGUAUCUGGAUUCAGGGGCAAUGCCUCUGCUUUGAAUGAGUCUACACCAUACUCAAGUACAUUCCCUCUCUUAAUAGGUGAUGGGACUCCUAUGCUUGUAGGAACUUCACUUAUUUUUUAUGUAAAUUUUUAUAAAUAUAUUUGUUACGUAACUAUGUUAUUUGAAUGUGCUAGUGUCACGGGCCAAAGUCUAAAGCCCGUGACCAUGACACAAGAUGUGCCCCAUGGAGUUCAUCAAUUAAAUAGGGAACAUUUAGCCCACGAGAACUGGCUCGAUUCAAAGAAUUGUUGGAGAAGCCUGUCAGAUUGAAGCCUGGUUGGCCCGAUAAUGAAGACAUGGCAACUUAGGCUAAUUUUGGUAACUAAUCUUAGAAGAUAGAGAGAAUCAUAUCUUGCAAAGAUUAGAUUAGAUUUGAUAUGACAAAUAUUGUAAAUCCCUAAAAUUAAGGGAUAUGGUUAAUCUCGUCCGUUGAUGUAAAUGUAUCUUGAUCGUCGAUUUUAGGGGAGCUCAACUAUAAAUAGAGAGCCUCCCCUCAUUUGUACUCAUCCAUUGUAAGAUUGAAUUCUUAAAAGUAAUAGAAUUCAGAGAGCAUUUAUUCAAACACCUUGGGUGUGUUCUUUUCUGUGACUUUCUCUUGUUCUUUCAUUUUUCUUCUUUUGGCAUAAAUCGCUUCCGCUCUUCAAUUCGGUGCCUUGGAGGAGUUCUUAAGGAAUCUUCACUUUAGUAAAAGCUGACUUAGGCGAGUUUGGACGAACGGAUCGCCUAAGGCCGCACGGAUCGUGAGACGACAGUUCUAGCCCCGUGACACUAGAAUCUAUCUCUAAUUAAAGCCAUUAUUUAAGUGAUGAAAAAAAAAAUAUUCUUAGUGAUGGAAUUUAAAUAGCUUAUUAAUGACAAUCUUUAAUAGAAAAUAAUAGCAUCACACAAAUGUUUAAAGAUGUGAGUUCGAGUUUGUUUAAAUGUGUCUUUUCUUUCUAUUUAAAGGUGAGAAAGAAUUACGUGUAGCUAUAGGCUUUGUAUAAAGAAAAGAAAUAAAUUUUAAUAUGUUUGAAAAUUCAACCAAAAAUCCAUUUAAUAAAAGGUUCCCACUGAUGAUGGAUCUAUAAUUUAAACUUUUCUUCUUCAAAAGGCAAACCAAAGCUCCCUUGCUAUAAAUUUUUCUCUUUGCCUCACUCACAUUAUCCAUAAUCUUUCAUGGCGUCUUCUUCAUCUUCUUCUCGUCAAAUGAAGCACCAAAUUUUCUUGAGCUUCAGAGGUGAAGACACACGCCUUAACUUUACCAGUCAUCUACUCAAAGCUUUGAAAGGCACAGGACUGAAUGUCUUCUUCGAUGAAGAAAAACUAGAGAAAGGGGAGCAACUUUCACAAGCACUUUCUCAAGCAAUUGCAGCCUCAAAUCUCUCAAUCCUUGUUUUAUCUAAAGGCUAUGCUUCUUCGAAAUCAUGCUUAGGUGAACUCUCUCAGAUCAUGAAGUGUAAAAAGACUCGAGGGCAUAUUGUUCUUCCUAUCUUUUACCAUGUUGAUCCCUCCCAUGUGCGAAAUAUUGGUGGGACUUCUAAGACAUCUGUUGUUGUUAUGAAUAAUAUGCAAGCAAAUUUUGCUGAGACUUGAGCAACAAGGCUCGAGGCUUGCAGAAGAAACAAAAAUGAAUUCAAGAGCAGAAUUAAGCUUUUGAAACACUAAAAAUGGAAGCUAAGAAGAGAGAGUAUUGGAUAAUGAAAUUUGAAUGAAUUUUCAUUAAAAUUAUCAAGUGGCUGGUCAAUGAGUUACAAAAUCAUCACCUAAACAAUAC